GACGGGGCCCGCACAAGCGGUGGAGCAUGUGGCUUAAUUCGAAGCAACGCGAAGAACCUUUACCAGGUCUUGACAUCCCGAUGCUAUUUCUAGAGAUAGAAAGUUACUUCGGUACAUCGGUGACAGGUGGUGCAUGGUUGUCGUCAGCUCGUGUCGUGAGAUGUUGGGUUAAGUCCCGCAACGAGCGCAACCCCUAUUGUUAGUUGCCAUCAUUCAGUUGGGCACUCUAGCGAGACUGCCGGUAAUAAACCGGAGGAAGGUGGGGAUGACGUCAAAUCAUCAUGCCCCUUAUGACCUGGGCUACACACGUGCUACAAUGGUUGGUACAACGAGUUGCGAGUCGGUGACGGCGAGCUAAUCUCUUAAAGCCAAUCUCAGUUCGGAUUGUAGGCUGCAACUCGCCUACAUGAAGUCGGAAUCGCUAGUAAUCGCGGAUCAGCACGCCGCGGUGAAUACGUUCCCGGGCCUU
RNAcentral lists this ribosomal RNA (469 nucleotides) under uncultured Streptococcus sp. RNAcentral describes it as "bacterial SSU rRNA". It matches the Rfam family "Bacterial small subunit ribosomal RNA", at positions 916 to 1381 of the family's 1533-position model. Lineage: Bacteria; Bacillati; Bacillota; Bacilli; Lactobacillales; Streptococcaceae. The record is from RNAcentral.